ACGACACACACAAACACAACCAAAGAAAAGAAGAAAAUAUAAGAGAGAGGGAAGGGUGGGGAAAGAGGAAAAUAAGGAAGAAGAAAAAAAAAGGAAGAAAAGAGAAUUUAAGAGGACCCGAUUUGACACGGUAAAAUUCGGAUGCAGAAAGGUGAGUUAUGAAUUAUCCCUGUUACAUGAAUUUUUCGUAGAAGUUUUAUUUUUGGCUUACUAAAGUAUGGUUAUUUAACACUCGAAUUCUUUUGUAGCAAAUAUACCAUGGAAUUAUGAUAUUUUGAACAAAUUAUGGAAAAAGUAUUAUCGAUACAUCCGAACGAUGUCUCUGAAUCUAGGGAACGUUAAAGAUACUAGUGUGAACGGUGUGAUAAGGGCGGAAUGGAAAGGGGCACAGCCGGGUGUCCAAUUUAAUUGAUCAAUUCAAGUUAUGCGCAUUGGGGGUCACUCCCUCAGUACCGGCGGUAAUCGUUGGAUGGUAUCAUAUUAUUAUGUUAUGAUAUGUUAUGUUAUACACAGAAAUGUUUUGGUUACAGCUCAAGCCAUAAAAAGCUGAAGUUAUGGUAUUGGUUACAGUUCAAGCCAUGAAAAACUGAGGUUAUGAUUCUUGCUUUUCUCUGAUAAAAAGGAUUUUAAAAAUUCCAUGGUAGGUCGUGUAACUCCGAUAAUUCAUAAUCUCACACAAGCAGUGGCUUAUGUUUGUUGAAAUCUUUCUUUUCAGAUAAUCAGAAAUAGUAGAAGGACGGGCCGAGUAACUAUACCAUUAAGCUUAUGUCGAGGUUAUGUAGUGGAAGGGAAACGAGAAAAAAAAAUGUAGCUCAUGUCUCCGUAAUUAAAAGGAAAAUCUAGUGACUUUUAUUUUUUUAUAGAUCGCUUCCGCAAAUGUUAAGUAUAUUUCUUU
Molecule: long non-coding RNA, 895 nt
Organism: Rhododendron vialii
Lineage: Eukaryota; Viridiplantae; Streptophyta; Magnoliopsida; Ericales; Ericaceae
Exons: 2
Source: RefSeq, a predicted model, not a curated record